Molecule: ribosomal RNA, 450 nt
Filed under: uncultured bacterium
Lineage: Bacteria
Description: partial 16S ribosomal RNA
Rfam family: Bacterial small subunit ribosomal RNA
Source: RNAcentral
GUGGGGAAUUUUGGACAAUGGGGGCAACCCUGAUCCAGCCAUGCCGCGUGCGGGAAGAAGGCCUUCGGGUUGUAAACCGCUUUUGUCAGGGAAGAAAUCCUUUGGGUUAAUACCUCGGAGGGAUGACGGUACCUGAAGAAUAAGCACCGGCUAACUACGUGCCAGCAGCCGCGGUAAUACGUAGGGUGCGAGCGUUAACCGGAAUUACUGGGCGUAAAGCGUGCGCAGGCGGUUUUGUAAGAUCGAUGUGAAAUCCCCGGGCUCAACCUGGGAACGGCAUUGGUGACUGCAAGGCUGGAGUGCGGCAGAGGGGGAUGGAAUUCCGCGUGUAGCAGUGAAAUGCGUAGAUAUGCGGAGGAACACCGAUGGCGAAGGCAAUCCCCUGGGCCUGCACUGACGCUCAUGCACGAAAGCGUGGGGAGCAAACAGGAUUAGAUACCCUUGUAGUCC